UACGAAGGGGGCUAGCGUUGCUCGGAAUUACUGGGCGUAAAGCGCACGUAGGCGGAUCUUUAAGUCAGGGGUGAAAUCCUGGAGCUCAACUCCAGAACUGCCUUUGAUACUGAGGACCUUGAGUUUGGGAGAGGUGAGUGGAACUGCGAGUGUAGAGGUGAAAUUCGUAGAUAUUCGCAAGAACACCAGUGGCGAAGGCGGCUCACUGGCCCGAUACUGACGCUGAGGUGCGAAAGCGUGGGGAGCAAACAGG
RNAcentral lists this ribosomal RNA (253 nucleotides) under uncultured bacterium. Its description in RNAcentral is "partial 16S ribosomal RNA". It matches the Rfam family "Bacterial small subunit ribosomal RNA", at positions 524 to 776 of the family's 1533-position model. The record is from RNAcentral.